GGGGAUUUAGCUCAGCGGCAUAAGCGCCUGCCUUGUAAGCAGGCAAUCGCCAGUUCGAUCCCUGGUACCA
Transfer RNA from Cavia porcellus (domestic guinea pig), 70 nucleotides. It matches the Rfam family "tRNA". From Rfam's summary of the family: Transfer RNA (tRNA) molecules are approximately 80 nucleotides in length. Their secondary structure includes four short double-helical elements and three loops (D, anti-codon, and T loops). Lineage: Eukaryota; Metazoa; Chordata; Mammalia; Rodentia; Caviidae. The record is from Rfam.